GGGAAGCGCCAGCGGCCUGCGUGGCCUGGAUAGUACCACGACGAAACCCAUGAGGGGUUUGCCCGACGUAGACACCAGCCUCCUCCAGGUGUUUGCCCACGCGCAUGGCUAACGUGCUGCUGGAAAACGGACGCUCCACGAAGCGUUGGUGACCCCGGUCAGUGGGACGGAAGAGGUAGUCGGAGAUUGCAGACCCUGGGGGGGCGUCAGGGGCAUGGCACAGCUGCCAAUAGAGGGCGAGGGUGCGGAGGAAGCAAUGUCGUGGAGAAGGGUCGGGGCGCAGUUCCAAAGGGGGGGCUCGACGCCCCUUGGAGGUUUUGGUCCCGAGUUGUUCGAUCCGUAAGGAAAGCGAGGGGUAGGCACCAAACGGGUCCGGCAGAGGUAGGGGAAACCCACGGAAGGGACCCCCACCCCACGGGUCACGGAAGUCACGUAGCCGCAGUUUGCCGGUGUCGUGGCCGCGGUAGCUGGUGUGCCACAUAAAUUGGCAGCACAACAGGUCGCGUAGUAGCAGCAGCCGGGUCAGGGAGGUGGUGGAUGCCUGAAAUCCGGACCAGAGGUGGUCCAUGAGGGUGGUGAAGUCGCCAGGGCUGAGUGGUACGGCGGCUUGCUCCUCAUAGCCACGGUCGGCGGCGAGACGGCUAUAGCCAGUCUUGUAGGAGGACAAGGCGCUGGAGCAGCAGGGGUUGCCGAUGCCGGUUUCACGGUCGUAAGUGCUGCCACGGCCUAAGCGGUUAAACAGUCCGGAGAGUAGACCCAGAUGAUUGUUGACGGUGUUGGGGCUCGGGUCGUCCACACGGCGGUUGGGGAGCCAGUGCGCCUCCAGGUAGACGAGUAGGUCGUCAUCGGUGCAGGAUAGCAGGGUACGGCCAUGAGGCAGGGAGGCCAGCCAGGCAGAGAGGUCCCGACCGGCAGCUUCCUGACGGGCAAUGGUUUCGCGGGCCAGCGAGUUGUCGCAGACGGUGGCGGCCUUCGCGAGGGCGACGGUAUAAAGCUGGCGGCUGGAAGGUGGGUCCAGUACGGCGGAGGGUAAGGAAGUGGGGCGGACGCGUGCGGCCAAGAUUUGAGGCAGAGUAGGCUCCGGCAGUGCCUGGCGGGCAGAAGAAGGUAGGGGAGGUAAGCGCGACGGAGAGGAGAGACAGGACUCAGGCGCGGGCAAGCCUACCGGGGGGGCAGCAUCGGAGAGGCCGGGGGCGUGAGAUAAGUCCAGAGCGGGCGUCGGGCCCACGGAAAGGGCGGAGGGGUUGGGCCCCCGAGGGGCAGGAACGGACGGAAGUAAGGUAGUUGACGAGCCGAGGAGGGGCGCCCCAAGUAGGGCCGGGGAAGGCAAGGAAAGCCUGCCCGGCACCGGACAGGCAAGGGGCGAGUCCUGCAGUAAGGUAGGCAACCGUAAGAGAGGGCCGGAGAAAAGGAUGCGCAGAGAGAGGGGGCGCGCACCGGGUAGGCAGAAGACACAGUCGGAGGAGGAGGAUUCGCAUAGACGAGGCGUAACAACGGCGAAGGAGGUCGCCGCUUCUGUGGAGAAGCAGAGGCUGGGUGGAGGCGAAGGUGAAUGGCAAAGUAGCGACGAGCGAAGUUACCUGUGGCACGAGCCGAACUAGAGGCAACGCGGCGGAGUCUUGGGAACGAGGUAGAAAAUAUGAAUGGUAGGUAAGAGAGUCGGCAUGAGGCUGGAGGCUUACGUUUUCUGCUGACGAUGACUGCAUUAGGUUAUUUUCGUACUCUCUACUCGAUUGCCGUGCGAGCGGCCCACCCGCCCUCCCACUAACAGCCAAAUGGCUGAUCGGAAUUGUCUUUGAAGGGUUUGGGUACCGCGGGAGUGUGGUCGCAGACGCAAUGGCCUUCCCCACAAUAAGUUAGUAGUGAGUACGGAUCACGCGAUGACGUUUAAGCAAUAGCCAUGGUCGUGCAACCAGAGGCUUCAUACCUCCGAACGGCCGCUACGUGGCCUGCCACGUCCCGUUUGAGCCCGACUCUUGUUCAUAUCACUUACCACCNNNNNNNNNNNNNNNNNNNNNNNNNNNNNNNNNNNNNNNNNNNNNNNNNNCUGUCGCCAGCUGGUUCCAAAAGACGUACCACGCAAAACAACCAAAAUUGAUGUGGAAGCUCAAUUGUCUGCUGCUGUUUAUCUCAAAUGCACUUCUCACCGCUCAAACCUCGGCACAAGGUACGAGAGUGCCUACCUGGCAAGAAGCAGCACCAGCACCAGCAGCUAGAUGCCACAAGUUACGGCUAUCAGGCCAGGUAGUUCCUGCCAAAGAUAGCGCUCGCUAUCUGGGCUUGGUAUAUGGGCCAGAACGGCCUUUUAGUGCGUGCCGUCAGCAGUUGUGUGAUACAGGUCGGUCCGCUAUGUUUUCCUUAAGCGCAAAGCUGGACAAAAUGAAGCUGUUUGCCCCCGAUGUGCGAAUGCGGUGUUUUGCAACCCAAGUCCGAGCAAUUCUGUUGUAUGGCUGCCAGGCGUGGGGCCCUUUUGCGCUGGCAGAGGUCGUGGACAGGGUGGGAAGGCGGCGGGAUAAAGCCAACCUUGCGGAGGGCAUGUUCGAAGCCUGUUUGAAGGAUAGUGCAGUCCAGCUGCAGAUUUUAUUCAUGAGGCAGGUAGUGGGGACGGCACGGCCAUCCCACAGGCUGUUGUACGCGGAGCUGGCUGAACUCCCCUUACAAGAUUACAUGGUGAAGCAGAUUCUCCGUUUCUGGAACCGCCUUCAAAAGCAAGUGGGAUCCAUUGCUCAUGCAGUUUUACGGCAGGAGAUAACCGAUGCCCUGACCAACCCGGAAUGGGAGGGUUGGGGAAUCUCAUUGUUACGACUGUUUUCCUUCUUGGAGUGCAACAUUUGGAGCGGAAUACCGCAAGAAGUCGUGGGGGUAAAGGAGCGUGUUGACUGGUUGUUGAGUAGACCUCUACCAGAAGGAGCGAUAAUAACGGCACUAAGAGAGCGUUUGAUGAGCGGCUGGGACCAUACGCGUCUGACUGUCUUGCCAGAGGAGUACCCAUCAGAUGGGAAGCAACCGGGAGUGCAAAUGGCGAAGUAUAAGCACUGGAUGGGGCUGCCCUUUUCGGGAGCCGCAGCCGUCAUGUGGCCAACACAUGCUAAGGUUUUCAUUCCUCGUUUAGCACAUCGUAAGCUAAUGCAGUUUCGUUUAUGUUGCUGGGCUUUGGAGGCGAACAGAGCACGAAGGGGCAAGUACCAUGUCCCCAGGGGGCAGCGGUUUUGCCACUGUUGUGGUCCUAAUAGCCGAAUUGAGGAUGAAAAACACGUGUUAUUGGAAUGCCCAGCCUAUAAUGAUAUUCGUGCUGAAGAGGGAUUCGAUCAUCAACAGAGUAUGUUGGAGGCCAUGCAAUGGGAACCCGCACGUCUGGCGAGGAUGUUGGAACGUAUGUGGGCUCACCGAAACUCAAUUACCCCCUUUGGACGCUAGUCUGGGCUGAUGUGCGGUGUUUUUCCUUUUCUCCGUGGCUUUUAGGCGUUGUAGUAUUGNNNNNNNNNNNNNNNNNNNNNNNNNNNNNNNNNNNNNNNNNNNNNNNNNNGAAGCCUGCCCGGCACCGGACAGGCAAGGGGCGAGUCCUGCAGUAAGGUAGGCAACCGUAAGAGAGGGCCAGAGAAAAGGAUGCGCAGAGAGAGGGGGCGCGCACCGGGUAGGCAGAAGACACAGUCGGAUGAGGAGGAUUCGCAUAGACGAGGCGUAACAACGGCGAAGGAGGUCGCCGCUUCUGUGGAGAAGCAGAGGCUGGGUGGAGGCGAAGGUGAAUGGCAAAGUAGCGACGAGCGAAGUUACCUGUGGCACGAGCCGAACUAGAGGCAACGCGGCGGAGUCUUGGGAACGAGGUAGAGAAUAUGAAUGGUAGGUAAGAGAGUCGGCAUGAGGCUGGAGGCUUACGUUUUCUGCUGUCGAUGACUGCAUUAGGUUAUUUUCGUACUCUCUACUCGAUUGCCG
RNAcentral lists this long non-coding RNA (3933 nucleotides) under Volvox carteri. RNAcentral's name for it is "long non-coding RNA (VCAR_LNC000519)". The record is from RNAcentral. Lineage: Eukaryota; Viridiplantae; Chlorophyta; Chlorophyceae; Chlamydomonadales; Volvocaceae.